CUGGAUUUGUGUUUCCUUUCUCUAAAUUAAGUUUGCAUAAACUAAAUUUUAUGAAACUUAUACACAAUACCUAUUACCACUAAAUCAGAUCAAGUGUUUUCGGUAGAGUCACUUUUACAGUUAUGUCCUUUUAUAACUUUAUAUGAUAUGCAAGCGUGGGCAUCAUCUGUGAUCCAUUGAUACAUUCCCCAUUUAAUUUUUUGUUAAACAUCAAUUUUUUAAUUUUUUGGUUGUCAGAGCCGAUUAAUGCCCCAUUUGUUUGUAGGUAAGAAUUGGUAAAGUAACACACACACAUAUAUAUAUCAAAAAAGUGCACAAAAACCUAAUUAUUGAUAUUAUGUUGAUAGUCCUAAGUAUAAAACUUUAUUAAAAACUGUCACAUAAACUUAGCAUUAACCAAGAUAACUAAACAAAGACCAAUGAACCAUGAAAAUGAGGUCAAGGUCAGAUGAACCAUGCCAGGCAGACAUGUACAGCUAACAAUGCUUCCAUACAACAAAUAUAGUUGACCUAUUACUUAUAGUUUAAGAAAAAUAGACCAAAACACAAAAACUUAACACUGAGCAAUGAACCGUGAAAAUGAGGUCAAGGUCAAAUAAAACCUGUGGGACUGACAUAUAGAUCAUAAAAUAUUUCCAUACACCAAAUAUAGUUGACCUAUGGCAUAUAGUAUUAGAUAAAAAGACCAAAACUCAAAAACUUAACUUUGACCACUCAACCAUGAAAAUGAGCUCAAGGUCAGAUGACAUCUGCCCGCUAGACAUGUACAUCUUACAAUCAUUCCAUACAACAAAUAUAGUAGAUUAUUGCAUAAGUAUGAGAAAAACAGACCAAAACACAAAACUUAACUAUAACCACUGAACCAUGAAAAUGAGGUCAAGGUCAGAUGACACCUGCCAGUUGGACAUGUACACCUUACAGUCCUUCCAUACACUGAAUAUACUAGACCUAUUGCUUAUAGUAUCUGAGAUAUGGACUUGACCACCAAAACUUAACCUUGUUCACUGAUCCAUGAAAUGAGGUCGAGGUCAAGUGAAAACUGUCUGACGGGCAUGAGGACCUUGCAAGG
RNAcentral lists this long non-coding RNA (1069 nucleotides) under Mytilus galloprovincialis (Mediterranean mussel). The record is from RNAcentral. Lineage: Eukaryota; Metazoa; Mollusca; Bivalvia; Mytilida; Mytilidae.